UUUGAUAUUUUACAUCCAGAUGAGCUACCAUAAACUCAAACAGAUGGGACCUUGUUAAAUAUCUCAUUUGAAUGACAACAUACUCAGAAAUAUGGCACCGUCCCCUAUUAUGCUUCACUGCAGUCAACAAUCCAUCUAUCUGGUAUGGGAAUAGAACUUUCAUCCUUCUGCACCAAAGUUUACAGACAUAACAAGAAAGUAAAAAAGGAAAAUGGGCAGCUACUUCAUCAAAUAGAAGCGCGGCAAGCACUGGAAAGACCUAGAAACACUCAGCUCCGACUGCAACUUGUGCAAGUAAGAAGGAAAUAAUUCUGGAAUAUUUAGCAUUUAUAUUUUAACAUCUGGCAACAUCAGAUAUGGAUUAAAAAUACAUACAGGACUUAAUUCUCUCAAGUAGAUACCGCCUUAUUUACUUUUUGGAAGACAGCCAAGAGAACAUUGCAGGUAUAAAAUUGAAGAACACGCCACAACACAAAAGUGCAUAUUUAACCCCUUUUUCCCAUUUUUUACACACGGGAUCAGAGUGUCACCUCAACAGUAAAAAUCAUAUAGUGCCAAGGUUCGAACCACUGGGUAUAUCCAGUAAAUGGAUACAAACGGAAAGCAAUGUAUACAUGUUCAGCUCUUCAUUUUAUUUGCUUGUCUUUUGUUUCAUAUUCUGUCAUUGUUACUAUUCAAUGUUUUUAUGCAUCACUGUUACUUUGUCUUUGAAAUAAUUACAAGAGUUAAAGUUAUAAGUGAUAUGUAACUACAGAAGUUUCUAGGGCUUAUUUCAGGCUACUGUUAGUGAAGAGUUUAUUAGAGAAUUCAUUAUUUUUAUCUGCAUCUUUUGUUGUUUAAUUGAAUUUUGACUGAUUUUGAAUUUUAACAUUUGUGCAUUCUAAAUAUUCAUUUGCUAAUAUACAUAUUUAUUAGUAUGAUAAUUUAAAUUCCUAAGCAUUUUCCCUGUUAAUGUGCCAGCAACCUAAUAAACCAUUAUAUAUUAUACAACAUUUAAAACAUUAUAUAAAGAAUAUCGUGUUAAACAAAUAAAUGGGCUAGCUUACAUUUCUCCUGUUAAAGAUGGCA
This is a long non-coding RNA of Protopterus annectens (West African lungfish), 1068 nucleotides long. RefSeq lists it as uncharacterized. The transcript has 2 exons. NCBI's taxonomy places the organism in Eukaryota, Metazoa, Chordata, Ceratodontiformes, Protopteridae. The record is from RefSeq and is a predicted model, not a curated record.